Molecule: ribosomal RNA, 94 nt
Filed under: Lepisosteus oculatus (spotted gar)
Lineage: Eukaryota; Metazoa; Chordata; Actinopteri; Semionotiformes; Lepisosteidae
Source: RNAcentral
GCCAGCAGCCAUAUCACCCUGCAACUCAGCAGGUGUGAGCCUGGUCAGUACCUGGAUGGGAACGUCCUGGGAAAAACUAAGGUUGCUGCUGGAA